GGUUCAUAUCUACAAGAGUAAAAUGUUAACAUCCAUUUCUUUCCUUUCUCUUUUCUCUCUUAUAGACAGUGGCGGGUCUCCCAGUACAAGCUCCUUAUCCAAAAGCCAAGACCUCUGGAUUCUGCUACAACUGCUCUAAACAAGGACACUUCGGCCAUGAGUGCAUGGUGAAGAGGAUGUUUAUGGGGACGUAUCCCACGCUGCCUUUUGUCUCCUACUAUGACCAGCGUAAGGAUCUAAGACGCCAGGAGAGCAGAGUGCAGAAACAAGUACAAGCGUUGCAGAAUGCCGGUCUGUUAGAGCCGUCAGAGGAAGCUGUAUAUACUCCCCAGCCCCCCCAAAAGAAACGGAAACACAAUCUCAAAAACACACUUUUCUCAUUCACGCCCAGCGGACUCCCCCCGAAGAAACGCAUCGCACACACCCCUAAACAUCCCCCAGCAACACCCAAAGUCAGUGCACAGACCCCGGCGAAGAACACCACACCCAGUCACCAACUAGAGGGGAAGAAGAAGAAGAAGAAGAAGAAGAACAAGAAGAAUGACGUGAGUGUAAUCGACGGGGACCAGGAAUUUCCUCGAGGGUUCCAGAAAAGCCUCCACAGCAGAGCAGCCAAAGGCAGCCCUGCUAUGCUCUUCAGCUCAGGGAAAGGCUUGGAGAAAAGCAAUAAGAAGAAAAACAAAUUAAAGAAGUGGACGAGAAAAGCAGCUAAUGACAAGAACCACGAAGCCUCGGAUGAAAACCUCUUUCUGAUCAAACAAAGGAAGCACAGCAGAUAGCCGUGUGCGGGAAGGAAGGAGAGUGUGAGGGUGCGUGUGUGCAGACAUGGAUGUGUGUCAAUCUCUGAAUCCGUCUGAUGAGGACCGUUGUUAGAAUGAGCUCUAGAAUUUGGCUCCCUCUGCUGGCCAAAGCCGAAAGUGCAGGCACAUUUUGUACAGCUUAAAGAAAUACGUGCUAACAUUGGAUGGACACCAGUACUCAAUUAACUUGAUUUGCAUAACGGUAUAUAACGGUAAUUCAGUUUCAUUCCCUUUUAACAACAUUAGCCACUGUUUUUCUGGAAGAAACCGAGUCUAACAUUACUGACGUUGCGCUGGUGCUGGUGCUCAUCAAUUAGCAUGAUUUCCAUGACGUUUUUAAGAGCUUUGUGAUUGUUUGCCAGUAUUAAGAAAACCCUGACCGGAUAUAUUAAUAAGCCACCGAUGAAAAACUCGUUUGUCCUGGUAAAAUCAGAUGCACAGGAAAUAACAUCCGCCAAGCCUACUGUCCAAAACCACACACUACAGUAAACACACGGACACGACGUAUUCUUAAUAGCUUUUAAUUACUAAAUCUCCGCUACUUCAUAGCUUCCAGCGAAUGUGAAGCAGAUUUUAUGAGUUUGUUUUUGUCAUUAUUUCUCCACUUGCCAAACGAACCGUUGAAGAUCAGAUUUGAGCAGAGGAAUAUUUCAUUUUUAAUCUUAUGCCAUUUCAGUUUGGAAGGACUGUUGGAAAACUGCAUUGCGCUGCUGAAGAUGCUGCUUGUGCAAACAAUUAUAGAAUGUUUGUAUUUAUAUUGUGUACAUGUCUGUGGUUCGGCUGCAGAGGCAAAUAAAGGCCGGUUUUUUUUUUUUUCAUAUCCUGCUCAUCGCUGUUUGAGUAACAGCGCCACAUCUGUCCAUACGUUGUAUUAAAUGUUUGUUUGCUAAUGUGACGUUUUGUUUUUUGACUUUCUUUAUAGUUACUGCAGCUUUGGUUAAUAUGAGCCAGUGAAGGAAGGAAACCACCUUCAAGCCAAACUGUUUCAGGAGGAGCACAAAAUCUAUUGCCUUUUUUUUUUUUCUUUCUUUUUCUCGUAGUUUGCUGGAUUCCACCCUGCAUGUUUGACAGCAACCUGCUCAUUUUCUGGACAUGCAGGCUGGGGGUGGGGCAGACUAAACUGACCAAUCAGAGGCCCUGAAGCAGCUGUACCCAUGUCCACUUUGUCUCUUCCGCCACCCUGCUGUUUUCUUUCACUGGUCUCCUGUCUAAACGCUUUCCUCCGUCAGUUUAUGCCCCUGUGGCCUUCAUGUUUUGGUCCAAAUCCUUAUACAGCCCUGAGAACUACCUGAAACUAGCCUGACUCACAGCGCCCAAGUCUGAAUGCAGCCCGAGCCCAACAAACAUUUUGUCCAAACUCAAC
This is a long non-coding RNA of Pygocentrus nattereri (red-bellied piranha), 2163 nucleotides long. NCBI's taxonomy places the organism in Eukaryota, Metazoa, Chordata, Actinopteri, Characiformes, Serrasalmidae. The record is from Ensembl.